CUCCCUGCCUGCCUGAUAGCACCACCCUUUGUUUCUGCUGCUCCUGGUUUAUUCCAUAUGGCCAUCCUACCACAUGACAGGUGAAGAUAUUCUCCUGGAAUGAACAUUUUUGGAGAAAAAUCUUCCAGCCACGUGUGCAAGAGAUCUGAACAGCUUCAGCAUUUCACUGCAUCUAACCCUUGAGUAUCAGCUUGGGCCCCCUGAAAAUGAGGUACAUG
Molecule: long non-coding RNA, 218 nt
Organism: Pogoniulus pusillus (Red-fronted tinkerbird)
Lineage: Eukaryota; Metazoa; Chordata; Aves; Piciformes; Lybiidae
Exons: 3
Source: RefSeq, a predicted model, not a curated record